AUCCAGCUGACUACUCCAAAAUAGGACGAAAUGCGCGUCCUGGAU
Non-coding RNA from Schistosoma margrebowiei, 45 nucleotides. NCBI's taxonomy places the organism in Eukaryota, Metazoa, Platyhelminthes, Trematoda, Strigeidida, Schistosomatidae. The record is from Rfam.